ACAAGCAGCGGAGCGUGUGGUUUAAUUCGUUGCUACACGAAGAACCUUACCUGGGUUUGACAUAUAGGUUGUAGGGAACUGAAAGGGACCGACCCUUCGGGGAGCCUAUACAGGUGUUGCAUGGCUGUCGUCAGCUCGUGUCGUGAGAUGUUCGGUUAAGUCCGCUAACGAGCGCAACCCUCGUCGUAUGUUAUAUGUGUCAUACGAGACUGCCGGUAAAAGCCGGAGGAAGGUGAGGAUGAUGUCAAGUCAGCAUGACCUUUAUAUCCAGGGCUACACACACGCUACAAUGGUCUGUACAAUGGGUAGCCAAGCCGCGAGGCGGAGCCAAUCCUGAAAGCAGGCCUCAGUUCAGAUUGCAGUCUGCAACUCGACUGCAUGAAGCCGGAGUUGCUAGUAACCGCAGGUCAGCAAUACUGCGGUGAAUACGUUCCCGGGUCUU
Molecule: ribosomal RNA, 442 nt
Filed under: uncultured Anaerolineaceae bacterium
Lineage: Bacteria; Bacillati; Chloroflexota; Anaerolineae; Anaerolineales; Anaerolineaceae
Description: bacterial SSU rRNA
Rfam family: Bacterial small subunit ribosomal RNA
Source: RNAcentral